Molecule: long non-coding RNA, 405 nt
Organism: Xyrauchen texanus (razorback sucker)
Lineage: Eukaryota; Metazoa; Chordata; Actinopteri; Cypriniformes; Catostomidae
Exons: 3
Source: RefSeq, a predicted model, not a curated record
AGCUCCAGACUGACAAAAUGUGGUUGAAGAGCUGAAGAACCUACAAAGCCAUCUCCAAAAGACUUCUCACACAGGAAGAGUGAAACCACAUGCACACACUAGAGGCCAUAUACAACAAGACUGUAUGUUGUAAGUCACCUAACAAUAAAUAACAGCUGCAUUACGAGACGGACAGCUUGUAUGGACCACAGAAUCUGGACACAAGUUCAUAUGAGGAAUGUUACAGGGGACGUUGACUGGAAACCACUGGAAACUAAGAUCAAAAUUCUAAAGUCAUCCUACUGGAGUGCUUGAUCAAACUUGAUUCAGAAUGAUCACAACUCGCUGAAAACAACCCAAAUCCUGAGAGUUCCAGGGAAAGAGGGCUGAACAGAGUAAAUCAGAGACUUCUGCUAUUGGCCGUGU